RNAcentral lists this ribosomal RNA (252 nucleotides) under uncultured bacterium. Its description in RNAcentral is "partial 16S ribosomal RNA". It matches the Rfam family "Bacterial small subunit ribosomal RNA", at positions 524 to 776 of the family's 1533-position model. The record is from RNAcentral.
UACGUAGGUCCCGAGCGUUGUCCGGAUUUAUUAGGCGUAAAGCGAGCGCAGGUGGUUUAUUAAGUCUGGUGUAAAAGGCAGUGGCUCAACCAUUGUAUGCAUUGGAAACUGGUAGACUUGAGUGCAGGAGAGGAGAGUGGAAUUCCAUGUGUAGCGGUGAAAUGCGUAGAUAUAUGGAGGAACACCGGUGGCGAAAGCAGCUCUCUGGCCUGUAACUGACACUGAGGCUCGAAAGCGUGGGGAGCAAACAGG